UAAGGGAUAUUGCGCAAUGGGCGAAAGCCUGACGCAGCAACGCCGCGUGAAGGAUGAAGGCCUUCGGGUCGUAAACUUCUUUUCUCACUGACGAGGAAGGACGGUAGGUGAGGAAUCAGUCACGGCUAACUACGUGCCAGCAGCCGCGGUAAAACGUAGGUGGCGAGCGUUAUCCGGAUUUACUGGGCGUAAAGCGUGUGCAGGCGGACCACCAAGUGGUGUAUGAAAUCGCUCGGCUAAACCGGGCGGGGUUAUGCCAGACUGGUGGUCUGGAGUGCGAGAGAGGGGCGUGGAAUUCCGGGUGUAGUGGUGAAAUGCGUAGAGAUCCGGAGGAACCCCAGAGGCGAAGGCGGCGCCCUGGCUCGCAACUGACGCUCAGACACGACAGCAUGGGGAGCGAACGG
Molecule: ribosomal RNA, 404 nt
Filed under: uncultured bacterium
Lineage: Bacteria
Description: bacterial SSU rRNA
Rfam family: Bacterial small subunit ribosomal RNA
Source: RNAcentral